Xenopus tropicalis (tropical clawed frog) is the source of this 1810-nucleotide long non-coding RNA. RefSeq lists it as uncharacterized. The record is from RefSeq and is a predicted model, not a curated record. The transcript has 2 exons. Lineage: Eukaryota; Metazoa; Chordata; Amphibia; Anura; Pipidae.
AGGGAGGGGAAGGCUGGCAGCUCAACACGUGAAUGCCACUGCCCAGUGAUAUGUGUGUAUGAGUGUGAGUAUGUCAGUGUCAGUGUGAGUGUCAGUGUGUUAGUGUGUGCGUGAGUAUGUUAGUGUGUAUAAGGGUGAGUGUGUGAGUAUGUUAGUGUGUGUGUGUGAGUGGGAGUGGGUGUGAAUGAGCAGGGCCUGCACAACCAGGGAGUGCUGGCCUGGCAGCCAAUACUGCUGGUAGCGUUGUUACACUGAUUUAAAAGCUGUACCUCUCUGCCAGCACUUCAUAGAGGGGAUGCUGGGAGUUGUGGUGGUAAAUAUUUGUCCAGUACAGAUUGAUGAUUUACUAUUGUCAGCGCUGAUAUAUUCAGAUUUGUAAGUGAAUGCCAGGUGAAUACCAGGCAUGGGAUUGGAGCUGUGGUCAAUGAAGAGUUAUCAUUAAGGCAUUUAAAGAAGAACCAGGCCAGUGGUGCACACCAGCUCUGAGAAUGCACCGGUCUGGCCAUCCCUAUCUCUGCUGCAAAUCAGUUCAGCUUGAGGCAGUUCUAAAGUGCAGCGCAAGUGGAUUGGGUCGCACCACUCAGUGGCCCUGGCACACUCUUGAAGGCAAGAUCACCACUCUCACACACAGCACCAAUGGAGAUGGAGCUUCUGAAUUCCUCCUCCCUUCUCCCCUCUCUCUCAUUCCCUUGCUUCACGCAGCAGCAGGAGCUGCUAGGCAGAUCAGUCACAGGAGCCCAAGAGCAGAUCCCGCAUUCCAGCCAGACAAGGCCACAUUGUGAAUCUCAGCAGCAAAUGGAUGCGUUUCACCAAUUUGUUUUCAUCAUUGGGCAGAAGAACAAUAACCCACUUAUUAAUAACCCAGAGAAGGACUUAUUGUUCCCUAUAAAGGAAAUUACUACAUCUUGGAAUACAGGGAGCAAUCUGGGUUGAUAUUUUUUUAAUCUUGUCCCAAUUUACAUCCAGGCUGGGACUCGGCAAAAUGCCAUCCUUUAAACUGGUUAUAUUAAUCAGAAUGUGCAUGGCCCAAAUAAACCUGUCCAUGCCAAAACAGAUAAUAAUAUGGUCCGAAAUAGUUCCUUGCUUGAUCUGGAGAACAAGAUGCCAUAUCUAAAAUGUUCAAAGCUGAACAUCUCUACUUACUGAUGCAUGGAUUUGGAAGUAAAAUUAAAUGGCCUUUAUAGACCAAACAAAAUCUACUUAAGUGAUAUUGGUUGGAUAUUUUUAAUGUGAAAGCCCCAAAACUUAUUUGAGAGUGUAGCUUUUUGGUGGGGAAGGGCCAAAGCUAAAGUCAUUUGGCAUGGAGGGAAGUUAAGCUGGUCUGUUAAUCUAUAUAAAUGAGCUCCUGGCUGUGUUCAAGGCAGAGUUGAAAGGAGGUCUGACAAGAACAGGCUGGCCAGGAUCUAAUUAAGUAGCGUAUAGGAGAACUAAAGCUUAUCAAAGAAACAGGCUGAAAUUGCUGCACAUUAUGUUUUGAGAUUUUGUACCAUCCCAAGGCUGCCACAGUCCUUUAUCAGUGAAGAUUGGUAAAUCUGAAGUUGUGCAGUUUGCUUAAGAAUUUAAUGAUCAGCCCUGUAGCAUUUUCUGCUUUAUGACAACUCAUAAGUUUAGCUUUUAACAACUGCCCAGAUCACAUUGAGUAUCUGUGUGUCCUAACAAGAUCCAAGAUGGUGACCCCCUGUCCACAACUUUGAAGGCCUGAAUCAUUACAGUACAUGUAGUAUAUAAAAUACAGCAUUUUCGUCCCAUAUUUGUUUUGGGGAUUUAGUGCUCAUUUAAGUAAGUGAUUUAACCCUUUCCCUGCCAUCAA